GCCAGCAGCCAUAUCACCCUGCAACUCACAACUGGCAGCCCACUGAUGCUUAGCAGGUGUGAGCCUGGUCAGUACCUGGAUGGAGACCUACUGGGAAAAACUAAGGUUGCUGCUGGAA
RNAcentral lists this ribosomal RNA (118 nucleotides) under Lepisosteus oculatus (spotted gar). The record is from RNAcentral. Lineage: Eukaryota; Metazoa; Chordata; Actinopteri; Semionotiformes; Lepisosteidae.